UCCAAUCGUUUGGGAAAUG
RNAcentral lists this non-coding RNA (19 nucleotides) under Mus musculus (house mouse). Lineage: Eukaryota; Metazoa; Chordata; Mammalia; Rodentia; Muridae. The record is from RNAcentral.